Long non-coding RNA from Gadus morhua (Atlantic cod), 499 nucleotides. RefSeq lists it as uncharacterized. Lineage: Eukaryota; Metazoa; Chordata; Actinopteri; Gadiformes; Gadidae. The record is from RefSeq and is a predicted model, not a curated record. The transcript is spliced from 4 exons.
CUUCUAUUUUGUUUGGACAGGACUGUGUGGUGAUUACAACGGUAAGGCCGAGGAUGACCUGCAGAAACCUGACAGGUCCCCGGCCAAAGGCCCUACUGACUUUGGGAACAGCUUCAAGGUUGGAGGGGACGUGGGGUGCACCAGCGAGUGUCCCGGGGGUAAAUGUCCUGUCUGCGAGCCAACACUGGCCAUACGUUAUCAACAGAAAGACUCCUGCGGGAUUAUCGCCAACGAGGCAGGACCUUUCAGAGAUUGCCUCGCAAAAUUCGACCAUACCGAGUACCUCAACGACUGUGUAUUUGACCUUUGUGCGUACAAGGGCCACAUUACUGCCCUCUGCAACAGUCUGACAAGUUACCUGGUAGUUUGUCAAGCAGCCGGCGCUGUGGUGGAGAACUGGAGGACCCAACAAUUCUGCCCCCUCCGCUGUGGGGCCAACAGUCACUACGAAGCGUGCGCCGUUCCGUGCCCCCAGACCUGCGACGGCUUCGGCCUCGCG